AAACCUGCCCCUGAGGAUUUUCAAGCGGAGUAUGAGCACUGGAAGUGGGUGAUAAGCAAUUCUUAUAUGGAAGGCCUGGGUAUUGAUUGGUCUGCUGUCAGAAAUGUCAUGGACAUGAAAGCUGUGUACGGAGGGUUUGCAGCAGCUUUGCAGGACAUGAAGGUGUGGGUCAUGAAUGUAGUUCCAAUCGACUCACCUGACACGCUCCAAUCAUAUACGAGUGCGGGCUGUUUGGACUCUACCAUGACUAGUACGAGUCGUUUAGCACCUACUCCCUCCGUUCGGAAUUACUUGUCACAAAAAUGGAUGUAUCUACAACUAAAAUACAUCUAG
Molecule: ribosomal RNA, 333 nt
Filed under: Triticum aestivum (bread wheat)
Lineage: Eukaryota; Viridiplantae; Streptophyta; Magnoliopsida; Poales; Poaceae
Description: partial small subunit ribosomal RNA
Source: RNAcentral